UACCAGCACCCCGAGUGGUCGGGACGAUUAUUGGGCCUAAAGCAUCCGUAGCCGGUUUUACAAGUCCUCCGUUAAAUCCAACUGCUUAACAGAUGGGCCGCGGAGGAUACUAUAAGACUAGGAGGCAGGAGAGGCAAGCGGUACUCAGUGGGUAGGGGUAAAAUCCGUUGAUCCAUUGAAGACCACCAGUGGCGAAGGCGGCUUGCCAGAAUGCGCUCGACGGUGAGGGAUGAAAGCUGGGGGAGCAAACCGGAUUAGAAACCCUAGUAGUCC
This 273-nucleotide ribosomal RNA is filed under the name uncultured archaeon. RNAcentral describes it as "partial 16S ribosomal RNA". It matches the Rfam family "Archaeal small subunit ribosomal RNA", at positions 474 to 747 of the family's 1478-position model. The record is from RNAcentral. RNAcentral also lists the same sequence under 1 other name.